AACAAACGCUGGCGGCGUGCCUAACACAUGCAAGUCGUACGAGAAAGUCGGCUUCGGCCGAUGAGUACAGUGGCGCACGGGUGAGUAGCGCGUGGGUAAUCUGCCCCCCGGUCAGGAAUAACCCGCCGAAAGGCGGGCUAAUACCCGAUAACACUGACGCUCCGCGGAGCGUCUUUCAAAGAAGGCCUCUGUUUACAAGCUUUCGCCGGAGGAUGAGCCCGCGUACCAUUAGCUAGUUGGCAGGGUAAUGGCCUACCAAGGCUACGAUGGUUAGCUGGUCUGAGAGGAUGGUCCCCCACACUGGUACUGAGACACGGACCAGACUCCUACGGGAGGCAGCAGUGAGGAAUAUUGGUCAAUGGGCGGAAGCCUGAACCAGCCAUGCCGCGUGCGGGAUGAAGGCCCUACGGGUUGUAAACCGCUUUUCCCCGGGAAGAAUAAGCCCCCGCGGGGGUGAUGCCGGUACCGGGGAAGUAAGGAUCGGCUAACUCCGUG
Molecule: ribosomal RNA, 495 nt
Filed under: uncultured bacterium
Lineage: Bacteria
Description: bacterial SSU rRNA
Rfam family: Bacterial small subunit ribosomal RNA
Source: RNAcentral